Molecule: long non-coding RNA, 1335 nt
Filed under: Ananas comosus (pineapple)
Lineage: Eukaryota; Viridiplantae; Streptophyta; Magnoliopsida; Poales; Bromeliaceae
Description: long non-coding RNA (ACOM_LNC039636)
Source: RNAcentral
ACGGCGAAUAUGAAUCGCGAUGGCUAUCUCCGGAGUGCCGGCUUGUAGGGAGCGACCCUCACAAGCAUGUGCGAAUGAGCACAAUGGCAAGUAGGCAAACGAUCUGUCGCAAGUACCAAGUCCUCAUGUCUAAUAACAUGGAAUGUGUCAAGUAUCUCAACGGCCUAUCCCUAUGUCAUCAUGUCUCUAACAUGGAAUGUAGCAGAUAAGUAGUGGCCUAUCAAUAUGUCUCUAUGUUGCAGUUUCAUAGUUUACUAGUUUCAAGUGCCCCUUGAUGACACUCUUGUUCUCUAUGCCAGAGCAUGGCAACUAUGUUCCAAAGUACAUAUUCCAAGUCAUAAUCCUCAUAAGUGAUGUAUUUUCCACUUGCAAAUAAACACUUUUCCCAUAUGCAUGCAUUCUACUCAUAUAGCUCUACUAUAUAGUGACAUUUUCAAAAUACACAAGGCAUGCAUUUUAAGUGCCCUAAAAUUCAUAUAAAUUUCAUUUAGCAUAGAAAUGAAUUUAAAAAUAUUUUACAACAAAUAGAAAGAGCAUAGGGGCCAUUUCGCCCCAUUUCCACGAAGCCAAACCCACCAAAAUCGACUUCUUCGUUUCGCCGAACGAAGGUAUCCACAAGCUUCCUAGUACCCUAGAAGCAUCAAAAAUAGGGUCACCCAAACGAAACGAAGAGCAAAUAGCUCAAUCAUUAAGCUUCUCAAGCUAGGGUUGGGAAAAACUCACCUCAAGUGAAAAACUCUCUCUUAAUCUUCAAAUGGAAGGUAGGGGUCUUCCAAUCUAAUCUAUAUAAAGGUUCCAAACCAAUCAAAUGAGAUCAAGAAGCCUCAAAUCAAGAAUCCCCAAAUCUAACCCUAAAAUCCAAAAUCUAGGGUUUAGACAAGCAAAAAGCUCCAAAACUAAAAUCUAGAGGAAGGAACCUUGCCACUUACCUCUAGGAUGCUCCAAACCAAGCUCAAAAUCUUCAAGGGUUGAAGAUUGAUCCACCACAAAGCUCCAAAAGCAAGCUCCCGAAAAUCCAACGUUCGGGAACCGGUCUCUCCCUGCGCGGGACCAGUCUCUCCCCGCGCAGACGCGCUCGGGGACCGAUCUCGACUGCCAGGGACCGGUUGCCUCGCCGGCUGCGCAGCACUGUUCAUUGGGGGACCGGUCUCUCCUAUCAGGGACCGGUCCCCGAGAGUAAAAACUCUCAGGACUCAGCCAAAACUCUCGAGAUCGAACUUUUAGGCCGGUAUACCAUCAACGGCCCUCCACCAAGUGUGGAAAAGUUCGGAAUACAAAUCGAACACUCGAACCUCGCAAUUUGCGAAGGUCCAGUGUGCUACAUUCACCCCUCCU